UUGAACCUACGGGGCGCAGCAGUGAGGAAUAUUGGUCAAUGGGCGGGAUCCUGAACCAGCCAAGUCGCGUGAAGGAAGAAGGUACUUAGUAUUGUAAACUUCUUUUGUCGGGGAACAAAGGCGGAGACGCGUCUCCGGAUGAGUGUACCCGAAGAAAAAGCAUCGGCUAACUCCGUGCCAGCAGCCGCGGUAAUACGGAGGAUGCGAGCGUUAUCCGGAUUUAUUGGGUUUAAAGGGUGCGCAGGCGGGUG
Molecule: ribosomal RNA, 251 nt
Filed under: uncultured bacterium
Lineage: Bacteria
Description: partial 16S ribosomal RNA
Rfam family: Bacterial small subunit ribosomal RNA
Source: RNAcentral